RNAcentral lists this ribosomal RNA (432 nucleotides) under uncultured bacterium. RNAcentral's name for it is "bacterial SSU rRNA". It matches the Rfam family "Bacterial small subunit ribosomal RNA", at positions 338 to 762 of the family's 1533-position model. The record is from RNAcentral.
CCUACGGGAGGCAGCAGUAGGGAAUCUUCCACAAUGGACGAAAGUCUGAUGGAGCAACGCCGCGUGAGUGAAGAAGGUUUUCGGAUCGUAAAACUCUGUUAUUGGAGAAGAACGUAUUUGGUAGUAACUGGCCAGAUAGUGACGGUAUCCAAUCAGAAAGCCACGGCUAACUACGUGCCAGCAGCCGCGGUAAUACGUAGGUGGCAAGCGUUGUCCGGAUUUAUUGGGCGUAAAGCGAGUGCAGGCGGUUUUUUAAGUCUGAUGUGAAAGCCUUCGGCUUAACCGAAGAAAUGCAUUGGAAACUGGGAAACUUGAGUGAAGAAGAGGAGAGUGGAACUCCAUGUGUAGCGGUGAAAUGCGUAGAUAUAUGGAAGAACACCAGUGGCGAAGGCGGCUCUCUGGUCUGUAACUGACGCUGAGGCUCGAAAGCAU